CCAUGAUUGGUUUAUAAAAUCAAAGGGGGUGAAUACUUUUUACAGCUCAGUGACCCAAAAAUGAGUGGAUGAUUAAAUGUUUCUGUGACUAAGAUGGGAAAGCUGAUGUCAUUCUGGGGCUGAGAUUAGGAAAAGCAGCCCGUUGAGUUGCUACUCUUUGUACUGGGGCGUGAUGGGGUGGAAAGAAAACCUGAAGAUUCAUGAGCAGUCCUGCUCCGCUGCUCGUUCGUCUUCCUUCACCUGCAGCUAGCUGUCCCACCAGGGAGCAGGGAUCAGACUCCACAGACGCUAUGCUCUCCACAAACACCCUCGGCCUCUGCAUUCAUCUGCUCCCCAUUCAGCAAACCGUUAAGUCCCUCUGAUGGAUGACGGGGUGCUUCUUUGGCACAGACUGGUGGGAACACUUCUGGUUCUGGUUAGCAAGCUAAAGCUGCGCCUGAGAGACGGACUAGAGCAUUCUGGCUAGAGCUAUGCUAAACGCUAAGCCAGCCCUGCAGGGCCCUGUGUGAAGAGCUUUGGAUAUUUCUGGGGCCUGAAAGCUUUUUGUUACUCGUCAUGAACACAAAGGAUUCGUCCUUAAUCCGUACCCUUCUUAGAGAAAUAUUGACAGUAAAUCAUCUGAGUCUUUU
Molecule: long non-coding RNA, 629 nt
Organism: Cheilinus undulatus (humphead wrasse)
Lineage: Eukaryota; Metazoa; Chordata; Actinopteri; Labriformes; Labridae
Exons: 3
Source: RefSeq, a predicted model, not a curated record